AUGCCUAUGAAUUAUUCACUUGCUGUUGAACCAUUUGAUGUUUGGGGAUUUGAUUACAUGGGACCUUUUCCUUCCUCUAAUGGGUAUACACAUAUUUUGGUUGUUGUUGAUUAUGUUACUAAAUGGGUAGAAGCUAUUCCAACCAGUAGUGCUGAUCACAACACCUCUAUUAAAAUGCUUAAGGAAUUUAUUUUCCCAAGGUUUGGAGUCCCUAGGUAUUUAAUGACUGAUGGUGGUUCACACUUUAUUCAUGGUGAUUUUUGUAAAAUGCUUGCUAAGUAUGAUGUUAACCAUAGAAUUGCAUCACCUUAUCAUCCUCAGUCUAGUGGUCAAGUUGAACUUGGCAAUAGAGAAAUAAAAUUAAUUUUGCAAAAGGCUGUCAAUAGGUCCAGGAAGAAUUGGUCUAAGAAAUUAGAUGAUGCACUUUGGGCUUAUAGAACAGCAUAUAAAAAUCCUAUGGGUAUGUCUCCUUAUAAAAUGGUUUAUGGAAAAGCUUGUCAUUUGCCUCUUGAGUUAGAACAUCAAGCAUAUGGGCAGUUAAAGAGCUCAACUAUGAUUCCAAGCUUGCUGGUGAAAAGAGGUUAUUUGAUAUUAGCUCUUUAG
RNAcentral lists this ribosomal RNA (603 nucleotides) under Triticum aestivum (bread wheat). RNAcentral's name for it is "partial small subunit ribosomal RNA". Lineage: Eukaryota; Viridiplantae; Streptophyta; Magnoliopsida; Poales; Poaceae. The record is from RNAcentral.